This 532-nucleotide long non-coding RNA is filed under the name Physcomitrium patens. RNAcentral describes it as "long non-coding RNA (PPAT_LNC014152)". The record is from RNAcentral. Lineage: Eukaryota; Viridiplantae; Streptophyta; Bryopsida; Funariales; Funariaceae.
UUAGGAUUUGAUUUAGGAUUAGGAUUUGAUUACGGUUUGGUUUAAGGUUUAGGAUUAGGAUUAGGAUUUAAUUAGGAUUUGAUUUAGGAUUAGGGUUUAUUUAAGUUUUGAUUAGAAUUUUAUUUAAGGAUUAAGAUUUGGUUUAGAAUUUAGGAGUUGGUUAGGAUUUGAUUUAAGAUUUAGGAUUUGAUUUUGGAUUUAGGAUUUGGUUUACGGUUUAAAGUUUAGUUAGGAUUUGAUGACGAUUUGAUUUUAGAUUUAAGAUUUUAUUUGAGAUUAUUUAAGAUUUAAGAUUUAGUUAGUUUUUGGCCUAAAAUUAGAAUGAAGUAAGAUUUCAACUAGGAUUAAAUUAAGAUUGAAUUGAGAUGUAUUUGAGAUAUGUUUGUAAUCAUUCUAAUAUUUCUUUAAGAUUUCUUUUUAUUUCUAUGAUAUUCCCUUGAGGUUUCUUUGAAUUUGAUUUAAGCUUAUUUAGCAUUGUUAGAAUUCAAUUAGAAUUAGGAUUUUGUUGUUGCAAUUUUCAUUCUACCUUCCA